UACGUAGGGGGCAAGCGUUGUCCGGAAUCAUUGGGCGUAAAGAGCGUGUAGGCGGCCCGAUAAGUCCGCUGUGAAAGUCCAGGGCUCAACCCUGGAAUGCCGGUGGAUACUGUCGGGCUCGAAUCCGGAAGAGGUGAGUGGAAUUCCUGGUGUAGCGGUGAAAUGCGCAGAUAUCAGGAGGAACACCAGCGGCGAAGGCGGCGCUCUGGGCCGGAACUGACGCUGAGGAGCGAAAGCGUGGGGAGCGAACAGG
Molecule: ribosomal RNA, 253 nt
Filed under: uncultured bacterium
Lineage: Bacteria
Description: partial 16S ribosomal RNA
Rfam family: Bacterial small subunit ribosomal RNA
Source: RNAcentral